Molecule: ribosomal RNA, 603 nt
Filed under: Salmonella enterica subsp. enterica serovar Heidelberg
Lineage: Bacteria; Pseudomonadati; Pseudomonadota; Gammaproteobacteria; Enterobacterales; Enterobacteriaceae
Description: bacterial LSU rRNA
Rfam family: Bacterial large subunit ribosomal RNA
Source: RNAcentral
AGCGUCUGGAAAGGCGCGCGAUACAGGGUGACAGCCCCGUACACAAAAGCGCAUGUGCUGUGAGCUCGAUGAGUAGGGCGGGACACGUGGUAUCCUGUCUGAAUAUGGGGGGACCAUCCUCCAAGGCUAAAUACUCCUGACUGACCGAUAGUGAACCAGUACCGUGAGGGAAAGGCGAAAAGAACCCCGGCGAGGGGAGUGAAAAAGAACCUGAAACCGUGUACGUACAAGCAGUGGGAGCCCCACCACUAAGCCAGUGGUGAACUCCACAUACGCAUCCUUUGCUGAGGAUACGGUUAACGGAGCGAAAGCGACGUUCAACCGCAAAAGAAGCAGAGGGGGCUUAGUGGUGGGGUGACUGCGUACCUUUUGUAUAAUGGGUCAGCGACUUAUAUUCUGUAGCAAGGUUAACCGWAUAGGGGAGCCGKAGGGAAACCGAGUCUUAAYYGGGCGUUAAGUUGCAGGGUAUAGACCCGAAACCCGGUGAUCUAGCCAUGGGCAGGUUGAAGGUUGGGUAACACUAACUGGAGGACCGAACCGACUAAUGUUGAAAAAUUAGCGGAUGACCUGUGGCUGGGGGUGAAAGGCCAAUCAAACCGGGAG